GCCACAAUUGCAUAUUCGAAUUCAAAUUUUGAAUCUCAAAAGUCUUUGGAAAGAUUCUUUAUUUCAUUUUAAACCCUAGGGUUUACACCCAUAUGAGCUUUGGAUUUUCAAACCAAUAGGUUUUAUGUAUAAAAGGGGCUUAAUGCACAUAUAAGCCAUCCCAUAAUUUUUGGUUAGUUAUUUGGAGUUGAAAAAGUAUUUUAUUUAAAUGGAUAUAUAGCCCUAAAGGCAUUUAUAGGGCAAAUGUAUUUUUCUAUAUUUUAUUUUGAGGGGAAAAUACUCCCAAAAGUUGUAUCAUGGUGGAACAUGAUUUUACAAAUUUUCUGGGAUUUAUUUGGACCAAUUUGGAGUUCAAAAUCAAAAGUUAUCAAAGAAAUAGGAAAAGGGAAAAAGAAAAGAAAAAAAAGGGUGAACCGGACCGGUCCGACCGCUUGGGCCGAACCGGCCGAACCAGCCCGACCGACCGAGCCGCCCGCGCGCGCGCGCCCG
RNAcentral lists this long non-coding RNA (489 nucleotides) under Brachypodium distachyon (stiff brome). Its description in RNAcentral is "long non-coding RNA (BDIS_LNC001899)". The record is from RNAcentral. Lineage: Eukaryota; Viridiplantae; Streptophyta; Magnoliopsida; Poales; Poaceae.